GCAGAUUGGCAAUUCUCCACUGUACAAGUUAGAUAGAAAGCUGGGGAAGGGGGGUUUUGGACAAGUAUUCGUGGGAAGAAGAGUGGCUGGUGGUAUCGCUGGAACUGGGCCUGAUGCCUUUGAGGUUGCUUUGAAGUUAGAGCAUAAAAAUAGUAAAGGCUGCAGUCACGGUCCUCCUUAUGAGUGGCAAGUGUACAGGUCAUGGACAUGCUUGGCCCAAGUUUAUGGGAUCUUUGGAACACUAAUAACCAAAUGUUGUCUGAAGAUACAGUUGCUUGUAUAGCAGUGGAGGCUAUAUCAAUUCUAGAUCACCUUCAUGUCAAAGGUU
This is a long non-coding RNA of Humulus lupulus (European hop), 328 nucleotides long. RefSeq lists it as uncharacterized. The transcript is spliced from 4 exons. Lineage: Eukaryota; Viridiplantae; Streptophyta; Magnoliopsida; Rosales; Cannabaceae. The record is from RefSeq and is a predicted model, not a curated record.